GACGAACGCUGGCGGCGUGCUUAACACAUGCAAGUCGAACGAUGAACCCGGAGCUUGCUCCGGUGGAUUAGUGGCGAACGGGUGAGUAACACGUGAGUAACCUGCCCUUGACUCUGGGAUAACUGCGGGAAACUGUAGCUAAUACCGGAUACGACCCUCGGCGGCAUCGCCAGGGGGUGGAAAGCAGGGGAUCGCAAGACCUUGCGCUAUACGAGCGGCCGAUGUCAGAUUAGCUAGUUGGUAGGGUAAAGGCCUACCAAGGCGACGAUCUGUAGCGGGUCUGAGAGGAUGAUCCGCCACACUGGGACUGAGACACGGCCCAGACUCCUACGGGAGGCAGCAGUGGGGAAUUUUGGACAAUGGGCGAAAGCCUGAUCCAGCCAUGCCGCGUGAGUGAAGAAGGCCUC
RNAcentral lists this ribosomal RNA (407 nucleotides) under uncultured bacterium. Its description in RNAcentral is "bacterial SSU rRNA". It matches the Rfam family "Bacterial small subunit ribosomal RNA", at positions 28 to 418 of the family's 1533-position model. The record is from RNAcentral.